This 71-nucleotide transfer RNA is filed under the name Marmota monax (woodchuck). RNAcentral describes it as "tRNA.Ala". The record is from RNAcentral. Lineage: Eukaryota; Metazoa; Chordata; Mammalia; Rodentia; Sciuridae.
GAGGCUGUGGCUCAGUGGUAGAGCACUUCCCUAGCAUGUGUGGAGCCCUGGGUUCCAUCCUCAGCACCACA